RNAcentral lists this ribosomal RNA (253 nucleotides) under uncultured bacterium. RNAcentral's name for it is "partial 16S ribosomal RNA". It matches the Rfam family "Bacterial small subunit ribosomal RNA", at positions 524 to 776 of the family's 1533-position model. The record is from RNAcentral.
UACGUAGGUGGCAAGCGUUGUCCGGAUUUACUGGGCGUAAAGAGCGCGCAGGCGGUCGUUCAAGUCGCGUGUGAAAGCCCCCGGCUCAACUGGGGAGGGUCACGCGAUACUGAUCGACUGGAAGGCAGGAGAGGGUAGUGGAAUUCCCGGUGUAGUGGUGAAAUGCGUAGAUAUCGGGAGGAACACCAGUGGCGAAGGCGACUACCUGGCCUGUUCUUGACACUGAGGCGCGAAAGCUAGGGGAGCAAACGGG